UACGUAGGGCGCAAGCGUUAUCCGGAAUUAUUGGGCGUAAAGAGCUCGUAGGCGGUUUGUCGCGUCUGCCGUGAAAGUCCGGGGCUCAACUCCGGAUCUGCGGUGGGUACGGGCAGACUAGAGUGCGGUAGGGGUGACUGGAAUUCCUGGUGUAGCGGUGGAAUGCACAGAUAUCAGGAGGAACACCGAUGGCGAAGGCAGGUCACUGGGCCGCAACUGACGCUGAGGAGCGAAAGCAUGGGGAGCGAACAGG
Molecule: ribosomal RNA, 253 nt
Filed under: uncultured bacterium
Lineage: Bacteria
Description: partial 16S ribosomal RNA
Rfam family: Bacterial small subunit ribosomal RNA
Source: RNAcentral